AACGCGAAGAACCUUACCCAGUCUUGACAUGCAGUGGACGAUACCAGAGAUGGUAUUUCCCUUCGGGGCCGCUGCACAGGUGCUGCAUGGCUGUCGUCAGCUCGUGCCGUGAGGUGUUGGGUUAAGUCCCGCAACGAGCGCAACCCUUAUCAUUAGUUGCCAACAUUUAAGGUGGGAACUCUAGUGAGACUGCCUGGGUUAACCAGGAGGAAGGUGAGGAUGACGUCAAGUCCGCAUGGCCCUUAUGACUGGGGCUACACACGUGCUACAAUGGUCGGUACAGAAGGCAGCGAAACCGCGAGGUGAAGCAAAUCCCAAAAAGCCGAUCUCAGUUCAGAUUGUAGUCUGCAACUCGACUACAUGAAGACGGAAUUGCUAGUAAUGGCGAGUCAGCUACAUCGCCGUGAAUACGUUCCCGGGCCUUGUA
RNAcentral lists this ribosomal RNA (427 nucleotides) under uncultured Chlamydiae bacterium. RNAcentral describes it as "bacterial SSU rRNA". It matches the Rfam family "Bacterial small subunit ribosomal RNA", at positions 958 to 1385 of the family's 1533-position model. Lineage: Bacteria; Pseudomonadati; Chlamydiota; Chlamydiia. The record is from RNAcentral.